RNAcentral lists this ribosomal RNA (490 nucleotides) under uncultured bacterium. RNAcentral describes it as "partial 16S ribosomal RNA". It matches the Rfam family "Bacterial small subunit ribosomal RNA", at positions 30 to 507 of the family's 1533-position model. The record is from RNAcentral.
AUUGAACGCUGGCGGCAGGCCUAACACAUGCAAGUCGAACGGUAACAGGAAACAGCUUGCUGUUUCGCUGACGAGUGGCGGACGGGUGAGUAAUGUCUGGGAAACUGCCUGAUGGAGGGGGAUAACUACUGGAAACGGUAGCUAAUACCGCAUAACGUCGCAAGACCAAAGAGGGGGACCUUCGGGCCUCUUGCCAUCGGAUGUGCCCAGAUGGGAUUAGCUAGUAGGUGGGGUAACGGCUCACCUAGGCGACGAUCCCUAGCUGGUCUGAGAGGAUGACCAGCCACACUGGAACUGAGACACGGCCCAGACUCCUACGGGAGGCAGCAGUGGGGAAUAUUGCACAAUGGGCGCAAGCCUGAUGCAGCCAUGCCGCGUGUAUGAAGAAGGCCUUCGGGUUGUAAAGUACUUUCAGCGGGGAGGAAGGGAGUAAAGUUAAUACCUUUGCUCAUUGACGUUACCCGCAGAAGAAGCACCGGCUAACUCCGUG